AGAGUUUGAUCAUGGCUCAGAAUGAACGUUGGCGGCGUGGAUUAGGCAUGCGAGUCGCGCGAGAACCGUAGCAAUACGGGGACAGCGGCGAAAGGGAGAGGAAUAAGUAGAAAUCUACCCUCGGGACGGGGAUAGCGGCGGGAAACUGCCAGUAAUACCCGAUAACGUCCUUGGACCAAAGGUGUGAUUCCGCCUGAGGAUGAGUCUACUUCCUAUUAGCUAGUUGGUGGGGUAAUGGCCCACCAAGGCAACGAUGGGUAGCAGGUGUGAGAGCACGACCUGCCUCAUUGGGACUGAGACACUGCCCAGACACCUACGGGUGGCUGCAGUCGAGAAUCUUCGGCAAUGGACGAAAGUCUGACCGAGCGACGCCGCGUGCGGGAUGAAGGCCUUCGGGUUGUAAACCGCUGUCGUAGGGGAACAAGUUUACGGGGGUUAUCCCCUGUAAUUGAGUGAUCCUAGGAGGAAGGGGAGGCUAAGCUCGUGCCAGCAGCCGCGGUAAUUC
This 505-nucleotide ribosomal RNA is filed under the name uncultured bacterium. RNAcentral's name for it is "bacterial SSU rRNA". It matches the Rfam family "Bacterial small subunit ribosomal RNA", at positions 8 to 526 of the family's 1533-position model. The record is from RNAcentral.